Vicugna pacos (alpaca) is the source of this 122-nucleotide small nucleolar RNA. The record is from Ensembl. Lineage: Eukaryota; Metazoa; Chordata; Mammalia; Artiodactyla; Camelidae.
UGGUCAUUACCAAGGCUUUUAGAAUGCAGUUUCUUAUUUGCUGUGGACAUGACCAUAAAAAAAAUUUCCCACUAGGUUUUCUUUCUGCUACUUUGUUAGCGUUCAGCCUACUGGGAACAUUU